CGGGCGAGUAACGCGUGGAUAAGCUACUCUAUAAGACUGGGCUAAGUUCGGGAAUCCGGAGAUUAUACCGGAUAAUAUUUUGAAGCCGCAUGGUUCAAAAAGUGAAAGACGAUAGUGGCUGUCACUUAUAGAUGGAUCCGCGUUGCAUUAGUCUAGUUGGUAAGGUAACGGCUUACCAAGGCAACGAUGCAUAGCCGACCUGAGAGGGUGAUCGGCCACACUGGAACUGAGACACGGUCCAGACUCCUACGGGAGGCAGCAGUAGGGAAUCUUCCGCAAUGGGCGAAAGCCUGACGGAGCAACGCCGCGUGAGUGAUGAAGGUCUUCGGAUCGUAAAACUCUGUUAUUAGGGAAGAACAUAUGUGUAAGUAACUGUGCACAUCUUGACGGUACCUAAUCAGAAAGCCACGGCUAACUACGUGCCAGCAGCCGCGGUAAUACCUAGGUGGCAAGCGUUAUCCGGAAUUAUUGGGCGUAAAGCGCGCGUAGGCGGUUUUUUAAGUCUGAUGUGAAAGCCCACGGCUCAACCGUGGAGGGUCAUUGGAAACUGGAAAACUUGAGUGCAGAAGAGGAAAGUGGAAUUCCAUGUGUAGCGGUGAAAUGCGCAGAGAUAUGGAGGAACACCAGUGGCGAAGGCGACUUUCUGGUCUGUAACUGACGUUGAUUGCGAGAGAUUUAGG
This 680-nucleotide ribosomal RNA is filed under the name Staphylococcus aureus. RNAcentral's name for it is "bacterial SSU rRNA". It matches the Rfam family "Bacterial small subunit ribosomal RNA", at positions 103 to 764 of the family's 1533-position model. The record is from RNAcentral. Lineage: Bacteria; Bacillati; Bacillota; Bacilli; Caryophanales; Staphylococcaceae.